RNAcentral lists this ribosomal RNA (251 nucleotides) under uncultured bacterium. RNAcentral's name for it is "partial 16S ribosomal RNA". It matches the Rfam family "Bacterial small subunit ribosomal RNA", at positions 526 to 779 of the family's 1533-position model. The record is from RNAcentral.
CGUAGGGGCGAGCGUUGUCCGGAAUUACUGGGCGUAAAGAGCACGUAGGCGGCUAUAAAAGUCAGAUGUGAAAACCUGGGCUCAACCGAGGGUAUGCAUCUGAAACUAAAUAGCUUGAGUCAAGGAGAGGAGAGCGGAAUUCCUGGUGUAGCGGUGAAAUGCGUAGAGAUCAGGAAGAAUACCAGUGGCGAAAGCGGCUCUCUGGACUUGAACUGACGCUGAGGUGCGAAAGCGUGGGAGCAAACAGGAUU